Molecule: ribosomal RNA, 499 nt
Filed under: uncultured bacterium
Lineage: Bacteria
Description: partial 16S ribosomal RNA
Rfam family: Bacterial small subunit ribosomal RNA
Source: RNAcentral
AUUGAACGCUGGCGGCAUGCCUUACACAUGCAAGUCGAACGGCAGCACGGGAGCAAUCCUGGUGGCGAGUGGCGAACGGGUGAGUAAAGUAUCGGAACGUGCCCAGUCGUGGGGGAUAACGUAGCGAAAGUUACGCUAAUACCGCAUACGAUCUAUGGAUGAAAGCGGGGGAUCGCAAGACCUCGCGCGAUUGGAGCGGCCGAUAUCAGAUUAGGUAGUUGGUGGGGUAAAGGCUCACCAAGCCGACGAUCUGUAGCUGUCUGAGAGGAUGACCAGCCACGCUGGGACUGUGGCACGGCCAAGACUCCGACGGGAGUCAGCAGUGGGGAAUUUUGGACAAUGGGCGCAAGCCUGAUCCAGCCAGGCCGCGUGCAGGAUGAAGGCCUUCGGGUUGUAAACUGCUUUUGUACGGAACGAAAAGGUUUGACUAAAUACGUUGGACUCAUGACGGUACCGUAAGAAUAAGCGCCGGCUAACUACGUGCCAGCAGCCGCCGUAA